Molecule: microRNA precursor, 125 nt
Filed under: Hordeum vulgare
Lineage: Eukaryota; Viridiplantae; Streptophyta; Magnoliopsida; Poales; Poaceae
Description: microRNA MIR1122
Rfam family: MIR1120/MIR1122 microRNA precursor family
Source: RNAcentral
CAUAUACUCCCUCCGUCCAAAAAUACUUGUGUGAGGAAUGGAUGUAUCUAGAUGUAUUUUAGUUCUAGAUACAAUCAUUUUUAUCCAUUUUUGCGACAAGUAAUUCUCAACAGAAGGAGUAUCAU